UACGUAGGGGGGCAAGCGUUGUCCGGAUUUAUUGGGCGUAAAGAGCGUGUAGGCGGCUAGGUAGGUCCGUUGUGAAAACUCGAGGCUCAACCUCGAGACGCCGGUGGAAACCAUCUAGCUAGAGUCCGGAAGAGGAAAGUGGAAUUCCUGGUGUAGCGGUGAAAUGCGCAGAUAUCAGGAAGAACACCCGUGGCUAAGGCGGCUCUCUAGUACGGUACUGACGCUGAGACGCGAAAGCGUGGGGAGCAAACAGG
RNAcentral lists this ribosomal RNA (254 nucleotides) under uncultured bacterium. RNAcentral's name for it is "partial 16S ribosomal RNA". It matches the Rfam family "Bacterial small subunit ribosomal RNA", at positions 524 to 776 of the family's 1533-position model. The record is from RNAcentral.